CAGUCGCCGCGGUAAUACGGAGGGGGCUAGCGUUGUUCGGAAUUACUGGGCGUAAAGCGCACGUAGGCGGCUUGGUAAGUUAGAGGUGAAAGCCUGGAGCUCAACUCCAGAAUUGCCUUUAAGACUGCCGAGCUAGUAGGUGAGAGAGGUAAGUGGAAUUCCGAGUGUAGAGGUGAAAUUCGUAGAUAUUCGGAAGAACACCAGUGGCGAAGGCGGCUUACUGGCUCAUUCUAGACGCUGAGGUGCGAAAGCGUGGGGAGCAAACAGGAUUAGAUACCCGGGUAGUCCCUGUCUCUUAUAC
This 301-nucleotide ribosomal RNA is filed under the name uncultured bacterium. Its description in RNAcentral is "partial 16S ribosomal RNA". It matches the Rfam family "Bacterial small subunit ribosomal RNA", at positions 509 to 807 of the family's 1533-position model. The record is from RNAcentral.